Non-coding RNA from Equus caballus (horse), 925 nucleotides. The record is from RefSeq and is a predicted model, not a curated record. Lineage: Eukaryota; Metazoa; Chordata; Mammalia; Perissodactyla; Equidae.
GUUUCUUGAUUCUUAAUCUGGAGAUGUUUAUUAUACUGUUACUGGUGACUUGGUACAUUUUGUGGAAGAAAGAUAGCCUAUCGGCUAUAAUAAACCCCAAAUUUCUGUGGAUUUAUAUCAUAGAAUUGUAUUUCUCCCCCAUGUCAUAAUCCAGUGUGAGGCAAUGGCCAGAGGCUCUUGUCUAUUCCAUCCUCUGUGGACCCAGGCACCUCCCAACUUGUCCUCUUGAUCCAGCUAGAAGACUGGGAAAGAGAGCUGAGGGUCACACUAGAUUUAUAGGAGGGGGGUGGCCAAGUGGAGGACCUGACUCCAUCCUGCUGUCCUCUGGCCAGAUUUUAGCCCCAUGACUGGAUCUCUGGAAAGAAAUGCAAUACAGCUGUGUGUACAGGAGGGAAAGGAACGUUGGUCAUGUGGAGAUGCCAGAUCCCCGUGCAGACCAGUCUGGACAUAGCUUGAAAACUGGAAAAGAAAAGAUACAGAAUAAAAAGGUCCGUUAAGUGGGAAGAAAAUAAACCUCCAAGAAGAAAAGGUGGGAGAGAAGAGGAAAGAAGCAGAUGCUGAAGACCUAGAUGUUCAAAACAUAACAAGGAGACGUGAGCCCCGUCUGGUAACCUGAAGAGCUGGAUCCAAGCUAAGGAUUUGGAUCACAAGGAUCCAGGAACAUGAGCCAAGAACACACACAUUGUGCUUGGUUCGAACCUGGACAGCGGACCAGAGAAGUAGAAUGUGAAGUAGAAAGAAUCAACAAUGGAAACUGGUAUUAUCAAAGAUCACGGUCUCCUUAUGCCUUUCCCUGUCACACUUAAAGCAGGUUCGUUGUUCAUUUAUUUAAAAAUAAAACAAAAAACUAAUGACUGCAUGCUUGCUACAUGUGUGAAAAAUACGCCAAAAUGAGACAAAAUAAAGUCCAUGUAGUACAAACCAA